Homo sapiens (human) is the source of this 934-nucleotide long non-coding RNA. Ensembl annotates it as CCDC26 long non-coding RNA. Its record names the gene CCDC26. Lineage: Eukaryota; Metazoa; Chordata; Mammalia; Primates; Hominidae. The record is from Ensembl.
GGCUUGACUAAACUCAUUUCCUCCAUCCACAAUGUGCCUCUGAUGUAGUGUUGGCUGAGGCUCCCUCUUGCCGGCUCCUGCUCUUGAAACACACCCAAGUGCAAUGUUCAAUGUGAGUGUUUGGCUUGGCUUAAAUUUGGCCAAAUCAUCUGUACUUUGUUUCAUUUGAAAGCCUUACUUUUUUCUUGCUCUCUCUUUUUCUCUCUCAACUAGUUCAUUCCAGAUGUUUUUGAUUUGUCUUUUUGUGGUCUACUCCACCCAGUUCCUAAAUCAGUAAAUCAUUUUCGUGCUUCUUCCAAAAUCUAAGGAAAGAAAAUGCUCAAUUAGAGAGAAACUGAUUAUAGGUCUCAUAGAGCUUAUACUUGGGGAUGGCUGCUCUCCUCAGGAACUACCUUUGAAAGGUAGGAGAAAAUGUCUUCCAAAUGAGGAUCUUAGAUUUGGCUUCACCAUCCUUUCAACUUUUUAGCAUCUGGACUAGGAGAGUAGGCAAAAUAUUGAUAUGCUAAUAUAAUGCACGUCCAAGCUCAUCCUCUACUUUAAGUCUUGAUAUAUAAUUGCUAUUCUUGCUUGAAGUCGUUCAAUUACUGAAGUGCAAAUAGAAGUUCCCAUUCUAUGAACUCAUAUGUGGUAGCGAUAGAAUGUACUAACAUAUAAUAUUAAUGGCCUUUCUCUCUUUACUGUCACCUUUUACCCUUCUCAGCAUUUUGAUUGUGAUGAUGUGGGUAAGGGCAAAGUGUUUGCUUUAUUGUUAUUAUGCAGGGUGAAGAACUUGUCCUUGGUGGAAAUCACAGACCUGAUAGGCUAGUGAAGGAAUUUAGAGAGAAAACUCAGUAGACUCCCUGAAUUUGGGAAGAGAGUUUUGGAUAUAUUGAGAGCAAAGAUGAGAGAUUGAAGGUAGCUGAUUGUAUAAUAAGCUAGAAAAAAGAGAAGAAAA